AACGAACGCUGGCGGCAUGCCUAACACAUGCAAGUCGAACGAUUGCCUUCGGGUGAUAGUGGCGCACGGGUGCGUAACGCGUGGGAAUCUGCCCUUAGGUUCGGAAUAACAGCUGGAAACGGCUGCUAAUACCGGAUGAUAUCGCGAGAUCAAAGAUUUAUCGCCUGAGGAUGAGCCCGCGGUGGAUUAGGUAGUUGGUGGGGUAAAGGCCUACCAAGCCGACGAUCCAUAGCUGGUCUGAGAGGAUGAUCAGCCACACUGGGACUGAGACACGGCCCAGACUCCUACGGGAGGCAGCAGUGGGGAAUAUUGGACAAUGGGCGCAAGCCUGAUCCAGCAAUGCCGCGUGAGUGAUGAAGGCCCUAGGGUUGUAAAGCUCUUUUACCCGGGAAGAUAAUGACUGUACCGGGAGAAUAAGCCCCGGCUAACUCCGUG
RNAcentral lists this ribosomal RNA (435 nucleotides) under uncultured bacterium. RNAcentral describes it as "partial 16S ribosomal RNA". It matches the Rfam family "Bacterial small subunit ribosomal RNA", at positions 29 to 507 of the family's 1533-position model. The record is from RNAcentral.